UUCAGUUGCCAUCGGGUAAAUGCCGGGCACUCGUGGAAGGACUGCCAUCGACAAGAUGGAGGAAGGUGGGGAGUGACGUCAAGUCAUCAUGGCCCUUACUGUCCAGGGCGACACACGUGCUACAAUGGCCGGACGACAACGGGAAGCGAGUUCGCGAGGACGAGCGGAUCCCUCAAAGCCGGUCGCAGUUCGGAUUGAAGUCUGCAACUCGACUUCAUGAAGCUGGAAUCGCUAGUAAUCGUGGAUCAGCCAAGCCGCGGUGAAUACGUUCCCGGGCCUU
This 280-nucleotide ribosomal RNA is filed under the name uncultured Synergistaceae bacterium. RNAcentral describes it as "partial 16S ribosomal RNA". It matches the Rfam family "Bacterial small subunit ribosomal RNA", at positions 1110 to 1382 of the family's 1533-position model. The record is from RNAcentral. Lineage: Bacteria; Thermotogati; Synergistota; Synergistia; Synergistales; Synergistaceae.